This 557-nucleotide ribosomal RNA is filed under the name uncultured Ascomycota. RNAcentral's name for it is "SSU rRNA". It matches the Rfam family "Eukaryotic small subunit ribosomal RNA", at positions 194 to 755 of the family's 1831-position model. The record is from RNAcentral. Lineage: Eukaryota; Fungi; Ascomycota.
GGAAGGGGUGUAUUUAUUAGAUAAAAAACCAAUGCCCUUCGGGGCUCCUUGGUGAUUCAUAAUAACUUAACGAAUCGCAUGGCCUUGCGCCGGCGAUGGUUCAUUCAAAUUUCUGCCCUAUCAACUUUCGAUGGUAAGAUAGUGGCUUACCAUGGUCUCAACGGGUAACGGGGAAUUAGGGUUCUAUUCCGGAGAGGGAGCCUGGGAAACGGCUACCACAUCCAAGGAAGGCAGCAGGCGCGCAAAUUACCCAAUCCCAAUUCGGGGAGGUAGUGACAAUAAAUACUGAUACGGGGCUCUUUCGGGUCUCGUAAUUGGAAUGAGUACAAUCUAAAUCCCUUAACGAGGAACAAUUGGAGGGCAAGUCUGGUGCCAGCAGCCGCGGUAAUUCCAGCUCCAAUAGCGUAUAUUAAAGUUGUUGCCGUUAAAAAGCUCGUAGUUGAACCUUGGACCUGGCUGAUCUGUCCUCCUAAUCGAGCGCACGGAUUCGGUCGGGUCUUUCCUUCUGGGGAGCCCUAUGCCCUUCACUGGGUGUAGUGGGGAACCAGGACUUUUAC